RNAcentral lists this ribosomal RNA (497 nucleotides) under uncultured bacterium. Its description in RNAcentral is "partial 16S ribosomal RNA". It matches the Rfam family "Bacterial small subunit ribosomal RNA", at positions 28 to 507 of the family's 1533-position model. The record is from RNAcentral.
GAUGAACGCUGGCGGCGUGCCUAAUACAUGCAAGUCGAGCGAACAGACGAGGAGCUUGCUCCUCUGACGUUAGCGGCGGACGGGUGAGUAACACGUGGAUAACCUACCUAUAAGACUGGGAUAACUUCGGGAAACCGGAGCUAAUACCGGAUAACAUGUUGAACCGCAUGGUUCAACAGUGAAAGACGGUUUUGCUGUCACUUAUAGAUGGAUCCGCGCCGCAUUAGCUAGUUGGUAAGGUAACGGCUUACCAAGGCAACGAUGCGUAGCCGACCUGAGAGGGUGAUCGGCCACACUGGAACUGAGACACGGUCCAGACUCCUACGGGAGGCAGCAGUAGGGAAUCUUCCGCAAUGGGCGAAAGCCUGACGGAGCAACGCCGCGUGAGUGAAGAAGGUCUUCGGAUCGUAAAACUCUGUUAUUAGGGAAGAACAAAUGUGUAAGUAAAUAUGCACGUCUUGACGGUACCUAAUCAGAAAGCCACGGCUAACUACGUG